CUUGUCCCCAGCACUGCGCACACGGGGCUGUCGCAUCCUUUCCAGAGGGAGGGAGAGCAGGAGUUUGCUCCCGCGCCUGGCAAGAAGUGGAGUCUAUAUAGGGUGGGGCGGGGAGCGAAGAAUUCUCCACUUUGGAUUGCGCCAGCUCGCCUUCCUCCCCCAGUCCGCGUUGGUUGCCACCGCUUCGCCUCCGCUGUUGCCCUAGCCGCCACGGCUGCUUGCACUGUCGGCGCGGGGCUGGCCGCCGGUCCGUGGGUCGCCUGUCCUCUCUUCGCCCCGGUCUGCUGGACGAAAGCGGGCGAAGGCUGCAACCCGGACACCUCGGGGACGUCGCUGUCCUCAGUCCCGGGCACACAGAGACCUGACCCGCAUCGCGCACAGAGCAGCGCGGAGCCAGGGCGGAUGAGGGGACCCGGCCGGCGAGUGCAGGGGUGCGGAGCUCGGUGCUACCUUCUUUGGAAAUCUUUUCUUCCACUUAAAGUUUUCUUUUUUCCGUCCUGA
Cavia porcellus (domestic guinea pig) is the source of this 501-nucleotide long non-coding RNA. RefSeq lists it as uncharacterized. The record is from RefSeq and is a predicted model, not a curated record. NCBI's taxonomy places the organism in Eukaryota, Metazoa, Chordata, Mammalia, Rodentia, Caviidae. The transcript has 2 exons.